AGUCUGUGGUCAUCUAGGUGGGAGAUGAAUCUAAAAGAGAAUGGAUGUGUGGACAUGUAUCAGUGAAUCACUUGGUGGUACAGCUGAAAUGAUCAUAGCCUUGUAUCAACUGGACUUCAAGAAAAUGUUUAACAAGUGAAAAAUAAAAAAAGAAACAACACUGCAGCCGUAAAGCAGGGUCCUGGUUCCUCCUUGAGGGUCCUACAGAGCAAUAUGCCCCUGAGCUCUUCUGCAGGAAGGAAGCCCCCAUCCUGGUGCAGGAUGCUCACUUCAGGCCAAGCACAAGCAGGUGGAGCCUCGACUCACUAGAACCGGAAGGCUGAUGACUGAGAUCCCUGGAACUCCGCCCUGUGACCUCCCCACCAACCAAUCAGGGAAGGUUCACACUCCCUGCAGCCCUUCUCCCAGGUGUUGCCUAUCACACCUCUUCUCCCAAAACCCUUGAGUUUGCAUCUGUUAAGCAUGAGCCACUUAAUCUCCUGGCUCAGCCCUGCAGUAAACCUUCCUCUGCCCCAAACUCUAUCCUUCCAGUUUGUUUGACCUACAACAAUGUUGGCAAACUGGCCAGGAGCCCGUCCAUGCCUGUGGCAGUUCGACCCCAGCCAGGGAAGUGGGGGACCCCCAGAAGCUGCCAGAGGUCCUUUUGCUCCAAGGAAUUCAGAGGGACUCUUCCUGAUGACACCAGUGAUCCUCAGCAUGAGGCUUCUGGAGUGAAGAAACUGAACCAGCAUCCACCUUUGGUUUGGUUUGGAGGACAUCUAUGCAUGUGA
This 770-nucleotide long non-coding RNA is filed under the name Sus scrofa (pig). RNAcentral describes it as "lncRNA (ENSSSCG00065040078.1)". Lineage: Eukaryota; Metazoa; Chordata; Mammalia; Artiodactyla; Suidae. The record is from RNAcentral.